CAUGCAAGUCGAACGAUGAACCUCGCUUGCGGGGGGAUUAGUGGCGAACGGGUGAGUAACACGUGAGUAACCUGCCCUUAACUCUGGGAUAAGCCUUGGAAACGAGGUCUAAUACUGGAUAUUGACUUUACCUCGCAUGGGGUUUUGUUGAAAGAUUUAUUGGUUUUGGAUGGACUCGCGGCCUAUCAGCUUGUUGGUGAGGUAAUGGCUCACCAAGGCGACGACGGGUAGCCGGCCUGAGAGGGUGACCGGCCACACUGGGACUGAGACACGGCCCAGACUCCUACGGGAGGCAGCAGUGGGGAAUAUUGCACAAUGGGCGAAAGCCUGAUGCAGCGACGCCGCGUGAGGGAUGACGGCCUUCGGGUUGUAAACCUCUUUCAGUAGGGAACAAGGCCAGCAUUUUUGUUGGUUGAGGGUACUUGCAGAAGAAGCGCCGGCUAACUACGUGCCAGCAGCCGCGGUAAUACGUAGGGCGCAAGCGUUAUCCGGAAUUAUUGGGCGUAAAGAGCUCGUAGGCGGUUUGUCGCGUCUGCCGUGAAAGUCCGGGGCUCAACCCCGGAUCUGCGGUGGGUACGGGCAGACUAGAGUGAUGUAGGGGAGACUGGAAUUCCUGGUGUAGCGGUGAAAUGCGCAGAUAUCAGGAGGAACACCGAUGGCGAAGGCAGGUCUCUGGGCAUUAACUGACGCUGAGGAGCGAAAGCAUGGGGAGCGAACAGGAUUAGAUACCCUGGUAGUCCAUGCCGUAAACGUUGGGCACUAGGUGUGGGGGACAUUCCACGUUUUCCGCGCCGUAGCUAACGCAUUAAGUGCCCCGCCUGGGGAGUACGGCCGCAAGGCUAAAACUCAAAGGAAUUGACGGGGGCCCGCACAAGCGGCGGAGCAUGCGGAUUAAUUCGAUGCAACGCGAAGAACCUUACCAAGGCUUGACAUGAACCGGAAAUACCUGGAAACAGGUGCCCCGCUUGCGGUCGGUUUACAGGUGGUGCAUGGUUGUCGUCAGCUCGUGUCGUGAGAUGUUGGGUUAAGUCCCGCAACGAGCGCAACCCUCGUUCUAUGUUGCCAGCACGUUAUGG
Molecule: ribosomal RNA, 1076 nt
Filed under: Arthrobacter psychrochitiniphilus
Lineage: Bacteria; Bacillati; Actinomycetota; Actinomycetes; Micrococcales; Micrococcaceae
Description: bacterial SSU rRNA
Rfam family: Bacterial small subunit ribosomal RNA
Source: RNAcentral